UGAGGAAUAUUGGGCAAUGCCCGCAAGGGUGACCCAGCAACGCCGCGUGGAGGAUGAAUGUCGUAAGAUUGUAAACUCCUGUUAGAGGGGAAGAAUAGUACCGGUUGGACCGGUAUAUGACUGUACCCUCAGAGAAAGCCCCGGCUAACUACGUGCCAGCAGCCGCGGUAAUACGUAGGGGGCAAGCGUUGUCCGGAUUUACUGGGUGUAAAGGGCGCGCAGGCGGGAUAAAAAGUCAGUGGUGAAAUCCUACAGCUUAACUGUAGAACUGCCUUUGAUACUUUUAUUCUUGAGUUCGGGAGAGAGAGACGGAAUUCCAGGUGUAGUGGUGAAAUACGUAGAUAUCUGGAAGAACACCAGUUGCGAAGGCGGUCUCUUGGUCCGACACUGACGCUGAGGCGCGAAAGCGUGGGGAGC
This 417-nucleotide ribosomal RNA is filed under the name uncultured bacterium. RNAcentral describes it as "bacterial SSU rRNA". It matches the Rfam family "Bacterial small subunit ribosomal RNA", at positions 355 to 769 of the family's 1533-position model. The record is from RNAcentral.